AUUGUACUCCCUCCGUUCGGAAUUAGUUGUCGCAGAAAUGGAUGUAUCUAGAUGUAUUUUAGUUCUAGAUACAUCCAUUUUCGAGACAAGUAAUUCCGAACGAAGGAAGUAGAUG
This is a non-coding RNA of Triticum aestivum (bread wheat), 115 nucleotides long. NCBI's taxonomy places the organism in Eukaryota, Viridiplantae, Streptophyta, Magnoliopsida, Poales, Poaceae. The record is from Rfam.